UUAAAACUAAGUUUGAUUCUUGGGGUUUGUUUUCCUGAAUGCCACUCAGCCCCUUUAACUUUUACGCCCCAUCAACUCCUUCUCUUCUUAAUAUGAUGGUAUCAUUUGGUAAGUGGAAACACCCUUCAGAUGGGAUUCUGGGAAGUGAGUGAAGCAAGCAGGCAGUUAGGAGAAAGAAGGGGUCAGGGAAAACUGGGUGAGGUCUGAUUUUCCCUUUCUGCACUUGCUGAGGCCUGACUGGGUGUCCAGCACUGGGGGAAGAUGUAGGAAAAGGAGACUCCAUCGUCUUUCCCCGGGCGCAGGAAGUUUAUGUGUAUGAGGCAGAGUAACCCAAGGAUGCCAAGGAUCCAAAUGAGAGUGAAAGCGGAAUACCUGGUUAUCCGGAGGUCACUGUCUCCACACAGAGUGGUGUCCUUGAUGCUAGCUUGGGGCAAAGAAGCCAGGCCAGCUUGUGGUUGCAAUAGGAAUAGAAGAGACUUCCUUACUCCAAUCCCACCCUACCCCCUCAUCCUGCCUCAACCAGUCAUGCAGAGAGAUGCUGAAUGGCUGCCUGCUCUCAGGGGAAUGAUUUGUGGAGGUUUAAUUAAAAUAAUUUAAUCAAUCAAAUCCAACAAAUAUUCGCUGAGUACCUACCAUAGUUAAGAACUUACUACAUUGUAUACUUACUGAAAGUCUUUAUUUUUGCCUCUCCAUGUCGUUG
RNAcentral lists this long non-coding RNA (700 nucleotides) under Homo sapiens (human). RNAcentral describes it as "HSALNT0250711". Lineage: Eukaryota; Metazoa; Chordata; Mammalia; Primates; Hominidae. The record is from RNAcentral.